AUUGAACGCUGGCGGAAUGCUUUACACAUGCAAGUCGAGCGGCAGCGCGGGGCAACCUGGCGGCGAGCGGCGAACGGGUGAGUAAUGCAUCGGAACGUACCCAGUCGUGGGGGAUAACUGUCCGAAAGGACAGCUAAUACCGCAUACGUCCUGAGGGAGAAAGCGGGGGAUCGCAAGACCUCGCGCGAUUGGAGCGGCCGAUGCCGGAUUAGCUAGUUGGUAGGGUAAAGGCCUACCAAGGCGACGAUCCGUAGCUGGUCUGAGAGGACGACCAGCCACACUGGAACUGAGACACGGUCCAGACUCCUACGGGAGGCAGCAGUGGGGAAUUUUGGACAAUGGGGGCAACCCUGAUCCAGCCAUUCCGCGUGAGUGAAGAAGGCCUCGGUUGUAAGACUCUUCGGUCAGGAACGAAACGGUAGAGGGCGUAAGUACCCUUUA
RNAcentral lists this ribosomal RNA (441 nucleotides) under uncultured bacterium. RNAcentral describes it as "bacterial SSU rRNA". It matches the Rfam family "Bacterial small subunit ribosomal RNA", at positions 29 to 472 of the family's 1533-position model. The record is from RNAcentral.